GCAUUGUCGAUCUCCGAUCAUUAAUGGACAUGCUGUGUAGCAGAAAGAAUCUGUUUUGAUAAAGGAUAUUGUUGCUUUCACCGUUAUCCAAUCUGGCUUAUCAGCUCUGCCAAGUCCUUCAUCUUUAAUCUGAGACACAGUCUUCCGAAUCUCAUUCUUGGCAGAUCCUGGCAUGAUUUCUUUAGAAAUAGAUAGAGAAGU
Molecule: unclassified non-coding RNA, 201 nt
Filed under: Hevea brasiliensis (rubber tree)
Lineage: Eukaryota; Viridiplantae; Streptophyta; Magnoliopsida; Malpighiales; Euphorbiaceae
Source: RNAcentral